Molecule: transfer RNA, 69 nt
Filed under: Potamyia horvati
Lineage: Eukaryota; Metazoa; Arthropoda; Insecta; Trichoptera; Hydropsychidae
Description: tRNA-Ile
Source: RNAcentral
UAUAAAGUGCCUGAAUAAAGGAAUAUUCUGAUAGAAUAUAUUAUAUAAAUAUAAAAUUUAUCUUUAUAA